UACGAAGGGGGCUAGCGUUGCUCGGAUUGACUGGGCGUAAAGGGCGCGUAGGCGGAUAGUACAGUCAGGCGUGAAAUUCCUGGGCUCAACCUGGGGGCUGCGUUUGAUACGUAUUGUCUGGAGUUCGGAAGAGGGUCGUGGAAUUCCCAGUGUAGAGGUGAAAUUCGUAGGUAUUCGCGAGAACACCAGUGGCGAAGGCGGCUCACUGGCCCGAUACUGACGCUGAGGCACGAAAGCGUGGGGAGCAAACAGG
RNAcentral lists this ribosomal RNA (253 nucleotides) under uncultured bacterium. RNAcentral's name for it is "partial 16S ribosomal RNA". It matches the Rfam family "Bacterial small subunit ribosomal RNA", at positions 524 to 776 of the family's 1533-position model. The record is from RNAcentral.